RNAcentral lists this ribosomal RNA (468 nucleotides) under uncultured bacterium. RNAcentral's name for it is "partial 16S ribosomal RNA". It matches the Rfam family "Bacterial small subunit ribosomal RNA", at positions 28 to 507 of the family's 1533-position model. The record is from RNAcentral.
GACGAACGCUGGCGGCGUGCUUAACACAUGCAAGUCGAACGGAAAGGCCCUGCUUUUGUGGGGUGCUCGAGUGGCGAACGGGUGAGUAACACGUGAGUAACCUGCCCUUGACUUUGGGAUAACUUCAGGAAACUGGGGCUAAUACCGGAUAUGAGCUCCUGCUGCAUGGUGGGGUUUGGAAAGUUUCGGCGGUUGUGGAUGGACUCGCGGCUUAUCAGCUUGUUGGUCGGGUAGUUGCUUACCAAGGCUUUGACGGGUAGCCGGCCUGAGAGGGUGACCGGCGACAUUGGGACUGAGAUACGGACCAGAAUCCUACGGGAGGCAGCAGUGGGGAAUAUUGCAGAAUGGGCGGAAGCCUGAUGUAGCAACGUCGCGUGCGGGAUGAUGGCCUUCGGGUUGUAAACCGAUUUGGCAUGUGACGAAGAGUGAGUGACGGUAAUGGGUAAAGAAGCACCGGCUAACUACGUG